AAUCAACGCUGGCGGCGUGCCUAACACAUGCAAGUCGAACGCGAAAGCCCCGCAAGGGGUAAGUAGAGUGGCAAACGGGUGAGUAACACGUGGGUGACCUGCCUUCGAGUGGGGGAUAACGUCCCGAAAGGGACGCUAAUACCGCAUGACAUCCUGCUUUUGAAAAAGCGGAGAUCAAAGCUGGGGAUCGCAAGACCUAGCGCUUGAAGAGGGGCCCGCGCCUGAUUAGCUAGUUGGUGAGGUAACGGCUCACCAAGGCGACGAUCAGUAUCCGGCCUGAGAGGGCGGACGGACACACUGGGACUGAGACACGGCCCAGACUCCUACGGGAGGCAGCAGUGGGGAAUUGUUCGCAAUGGGCGCAAGCCUGACGACGCAACGCCGCGUAGAGGACGAAGAUCUUCGGGUCGUAAACUCCUGUCGAGCGGGACGAACGCUUCGCGGAUGAAUAAUCCGCGGAAUUGACGGUACCGCUAAAGGAAGCCCCGGCUAACUCCGUG
RNAcentral lists this ribosomal RNA (500 nucleotides) under uncultured bacterium. RNAcentral's name for it is "partial 16S ribosomal RNA". It matches the Rfam family "Bacterial small subunit ribosomal RNA", at positions 32 to 507 of the family's 1533-position model. The record is from RNAcentral.